ACAUAUUAAUAUAAACUGAUACGUAAUAUCAAGCCACUGGAAACCUGCCUCAGAGUUUAAUAAUAUCUCUUCCUGGUCUCCCAAGGCUUAGCUAGCACAGGGACCAUCUGUGCUUAUGGCGAAGAGAAUGCCUUAGUAUGUGUGAGGUGACAAUGUUUUUCUCACAGUUAGUAAACAGCCGAGUUGGGAUGAAAAUCCAGGCAUGUGCAUUUCCAGACUGAGGGUGUAAACAUGAUGCUACAUGUCAUGCUAAGCACCUAGAAAAAACCAUUACCCAGACCUCUUGCUGCUGGUUAUCUACUCAGAAAAAAGAGGACUUGAGGGUAAACACUUCAAUCUUUGUUGAUUAAGAAAAAAGGUCAGUAAGUCUAUUGAAUCCUUAAAUCCCAAAGGAAUGUUUCCUUCAUGCUGGGCACUCAGAGAAUAAGGAGUUAAUGCUUGGUGGUGAGAAAGGGGUUAUAGCUACUUCAGCUGCAUCAUAGAUUCACUUCUUUCUUGCAAGUCUUUGCUUUUCACCUGCUGAGCAAAUAAAUAUCACCAAGGAACAAGAUGUUUUCUUUCCUGUCAUUCUGAAUUCAAGUGUAGCCACUUCAAAUGAUGGCAGGAGUGAUUUUUAGAAAAGGAAAGGUGAGGGAGUAGGAGGAGGUCCUAUGAAAGUGCCUAAGGAAAGAAAAUGGGGAGGGUGAUUUGGGGGACGUUUGCGUGGGUCUUUAGGCAUUUCCUGGUUUCAGGUUCUGGCUUCCCUGGUGGCUCAGAGGUUAAAGUGUCUUCCUGGAAUGCGGGAGACCCAGGUUNNNNNNNNNNNNNNNNNNNNNNNNNNNNNNNNNNNNNNUGGCAACCUACUCCAGUACUCUUGCCUGGAGAAUCCCAUGGAGGGAGGAGGCUGGUGGGCUACAGUCCAUGGCAUCACAAAGAGUCGGACACGACUGAGCGACUUCACUUCACUUUAGGCAUUUCCUGGUUUCAGGUUCUGGCUGAGUUCAUUGCAGAUAUCCUAUGGUCACUUUGGCUGUGGUCCCAGAGCUAUAGAAAGGUACAAGGGUUUCACAUUUGUGAGAGAAGGAGAUAG
Molecule: long non-coding RNA, 1069 nt
Filed under: Capra hircus (goat)
Lineage: Eukaryota; Metazoa; Chordata; Mammalia; Artiodactyla; Bovidae
Description: lncRNA (ENSCHIG00010003701.1)
Source: RNAcentral